CUUAGCUUCGGCUGGAUAUAUGCUAAAAUUGGAACGAUACAGAGAAGAUUCUCAUGGCCCCUGCGCAAAGGUGACACGAAAAUCGUGAAGCGUUCCACAUUUUU
Molecule: small nuclear RNA, 104 nt
Organism: Uranotaenia lowii
Lineage: Eukaryota; Metazoa; Arthropoda; Insecta; Diptera; Culicidae
Source: RefSeq, a predicted model, not a curated record